GUUAGGGGGCGGGAGNNGNUNGAGGNUANUUUCACGGGUAGGGGCGAAAUCCUAUAAUCCCGUGAAGGACCACCAGUGGCGAAGGCGCUCAACUGGAACGCGCCNGNCGGUGAGGGACGAAAGCCAGGGGAGCAAAGGGGAUUAGAUACCCCCGUAGUCCUGGCUGUAAACGAUGCGGGUUAGGUGUUGGGUUGGCUUCGUGCCAACCCGGUGCCGCAGCGAAGGCGAUAAACCCGCCGCCUGGGAAGUACGGCUGCAAGGCUGAAACUUAAAGGAAUUGGCGGGGGAGCACCACAAGGGGUGAAGCCUGCGGUUUAAUUGGAUUCAACGC
RNAcentral lists this ribosomal RNA (331 nucleotides) under uncultured archaeon. RNAcentral describes it as "partial 16S ribosomal RNA". It matches the Rfam family "Archaeal small subunit ribosomal RNA", at positions 591 to 918 of the family's 1478-position model. The record is from RNAcentral.